RNAcentral lists this long non-coding RNA (337 nucleotides) under Panax ginseng (ginseng). RNAcentral's name for it is "long non-coding RNA (PGIN_LNC007228)". The record is from RNAcentral. Lineage: Eukaryota; Viridiplantae; Streptophyta; Magnoliopsida; Apiales; Araliaceae.
AAGUUUGGAGAAUAGGCUAAGCACAUGGAACAAAUUGGGCACCACACUUGAAUUUGACUUGAAUAACCUGUAAAACCAUGAUAGAAGCAAUUUUAUUAAAUCCUAAAUAAAUGCAAAUUCCAAACUACUAAUAUAAAACUUAAUAAAAAUUAAAAAUAAAAAUUAAACUUGGGUUGCCUCCCAAUAAGCGCUUGUUUUACAGUCUUUCAGCCUGACUUUGUCUGGUCAACGCUAUCCAAUUCCUCUUCGAAAGUUGAGGAACCCUCCAUCCAUCGGAAAUAAUAUAGCUUUUGGUAGGUUCCCAUUUACGAUAGCCAUUGUAUUAAAGUCACCUAGC